RNAcentral lists this ribosomal RNA (252 nucleotides) under uncultured bacterium. RNAcentral's name for it is "partial 16S ribosomal RNA". It matches the Rfam family "Bacterial small subunit ribosomal RNA", at positions 524 to 776 of the family's 1533-position model. The record is from RNAcentral.
UACGUAGGUCCCGAGCGUUGUCCGGAUUUAUUGGGCGUAAAGCGAGCGCAGGUGGUUUAUUAAGUCUGGUGUAAAAGGCAGUGGCUCAACCAUUGUAUGCAUUGGAAACUGGUAGACUUGAGUGCAGGAGAGGAGAGUGGAAUUCCAUGUGUAGCGGUGAAAUGCAUAGAUAUCACGCAGAACUCCGAUUGCGGAGGCAGCAUACCGGCGCCCAACUGACGCUGAAGCACGAAAGCGUGGGUAUCGAACAGG